RNAcentral lists this long non-coding RNA (1353 nucleotides) under Monodelphis domestica (gray short-tailed opossum). RNAcentral's name for it is "lncRNA (ENSMODG00000048632.1)". Lineage: Eukaryota; Metazoa; Chordata; Mammalia; Didelphimorphia; Didelphidae. The record is from RNAcentral.
GACAGAAGGUAGGGUUUGUUUUUUUUUAAAUGACCCAUGGAUCUAAGGAGAAGGAAACAUCCUUUUGGCUUCCUUUUCAGGACUGGGGAAGGAGGAGAGAGAGAAGGCACAGUAGUUAAGCCCUCUGGACAGGCUGAGGGCCACUUAGAUCUAGACCUGGAAAGGACCCCUGCAUCCACCUAAUCCAACACCCUCAUUUGACAAAUGAAGAAACUGAGAGCCAGAAAGGCAAGUCCCUUGUCUAAGAUCAGCCAGGGACCAUACUGCCUCAAGUAGCAGAGCUGAGAGUGGAACCCAGGUCUUAGGACUCUAGAUUCAGCCUCUUUCCACCACCCCAUACUUCCUCUUAGUCUGCCUUCAGGGGAUACCUCCCCACCCUGCCUGCCCACUGGAUUAGAGUGGGAUGUGGGCUGGGCCCUGCGGUUCGGGCGAUGGGGGCGGUGGAGUCUGAGUUGUUUGGUUGGGCAUGGGAGGGGUGGGAGCUGGGGGCAGAAGCACUCCCCUCCCCCCCCAGGGGCUGCAGGAUGUGAUGGGAAGGACCAGCCAACGUGCCUACCCCUGCCCCUCCCAGCCUCUUCGGCCUGAACCCGUCGCCCCAAGUCUCCGGGGCUAAGAAGAGUGACCGAAAGUUCGCUUGCGGCUGCGACAGGAGAAGUCGGUGGCUUCCUCUCUUUCUCGAGCCGGGGGCGGGGGAAGGGGAAGCUGGGACUAGUUCCCUUGGGCCAGUCAGCCCAGCCGAGGGGCUCGGGGGCUCCCUGGCUUCAGCAGGACCCGCCCACGGAGCGAGGCAGAGCGUGUACUAAAAACCUAGAAAUAGAGCUGCAGAAGAGGUUUUCCUGCCUGAAGAGUUCCAUGUUCUUGACGGAUUUAUUCUGGAGAGGAAGGAAGACUGCAGGCCUAAUCACAGCGAGGACUCUGGGACUUAGCGAGGAGAUGGGAGCUUGAAGGUGGAGAGGUGACCCAAGUGAGAAGAUGGGGGCUCAAGGAUGGUGAUGCAGGCCAAGUGAGUAGAUGAGGGCUUAAUGAGAAGAAGUGAGGAUUUGGGGGUUCACUGAGGGUAUGAAAGCGUAACGAGGGGAUAGGACCUCAGGGAAGGAGGGGGGAGCUUCUAAAGGGCUGGGGACUCUGUGGAAGAGAUAUGGGCUCAGUGAUGGAGAGGGAAACUCAGGGAAAGGUCAGCUAGGUAGCAGAGUUUCCAGUGUGUGUAUCCACAGAACUCCAGUCAGGAUCAGGAAGACCUGGAUUCAAAUGUGGCUUCAGAUACUUCUUAGCUGUGUGAUCCUGGACAAGUCACUUAACUCUGCUGCUUUUCCCUUUGUCCUUCUGUUUUAGAGUUGUUACUGAGAGAAGGUA